This 301-nucleotide ribosomal RNA is filed under the name uncultured bacterium. RNAcentral describes it as "partial 16S ribosomal RNA". It matches the Rfam family "Bacterial small subunit ribosomal RNA", at positions 509 to 809 of the family's 1533-position model. The record is from RNAcentral.
CAGCAGCCGCGGGAAUACGGAGGAUCCAAGCGUUAUCCGGAAUCAUUGGGUUUAAAGGGUCCGUAGGCGGUCUUGUAAGUCAGUGGUGAAAGCCCAUCGCUCAACGGUGGAACGGCCAUUGAUACUGCAGGACUUGAAUUAUUGGGAAGUAACUAGAAUAUGUAGUGUAGCGGUGAAAUGCUUAGAGAUUACAUGGAAUACCAAUUGCGAAGGCAGGUUACUACCAAUUGAUUGACGCUGAUGGACGAAAGCGUGGGUAGCGAACAGGAUUAGAUACCCCCGUAGUUCCUGUCUCUUAUAU